AGUCAUAUGCUUGUCUCAAAGAUUAAGCCAUGCAUGUCUAAGUACAGGCCGAUCCAAGGCUAAACCGCGGACGGCUCAUUAAAUCAGAUAUAAUUCAUUGGAUCUGUAUCAUUGCAAGUUACUUGGAUAACUGUGGUAAUUCUAGAGCUAAUACAUGCCUUUAGAGACUCUGACAGUAAUGGAAGAGCGCUUUUAUUAGUUCCAAAACCUUUCGGACCUUGGGCCGUAAGACUUGGUGAAUCUAGAUAACCUUUGCUGAGCGCACGUCCUUCGUGGCGGCGCCGCAUUCUGCAAGUGUCUGCCUUAUCAGCUCUCGAUUGUAGGCUAAACGCCUACAAUGGCUAUAACGGGUAACGGGGAAUCAGGGUUCGAUUCCGGAGAGGGAGCCUGAGAAACGGCUACCACAUCUAAGGAAGGCAGCAGGCGCGCAAAUUACCCACUCCCGGCACGGGGAGGUAGUGACGAAAAAUACUGUAGCGAGACUCAAUCGAGGCUUCGCUAUUGGAAUGAGUACACUUUAAAUCCUUGUCCAAGGAUCAAAUGGAGGGCAAGUCUGGUGCCAGCCGCCGCGGUAAUUCCAGCUCCAUUAGCGUAUAUUAAAGUUGUUGCGGUUAAAACGCUCGUAGUUGGCUCUCUGUUCUGGACUGGCGGUGUACCUUAGCGGUGCUACUGCUCAGCUCCGAGCUAUCGCCCCGCCGGCUUUGCCUGGGGUGCUCUUUACCGAGUGUCCCUAGUGGCCGGCAUGUUUACCUUGAAAAAAUUAGAGUGCUCAGAGCAGGCUAUCCUAACAGCCUGAAUGGUGGUGCAUGGAAUGAUGGAAAAGGACCUCGGUUCUAUUUUGUUGGUUUUCGGAACCCGAGGUAAUGAUUAAGAGGGGCUGACGGGGGUAUUCGUACUGCGACGAUAGAGGUGAAAUUCUUAGACCGUCGCAUGACGAGCUACUGCGAAAGCAUUUGCCAAGGAUGUUUUCAUUAAUCAAGAACGAAAGUUAGAGGUUCGAAGGCGAUCAGAUACCGCCCUAGUUCUAACCAUAAACGAUGCUGACUAGCGAUCCGCCGCAGUUAUUCCCAUGACCCGGCGGGCAGCUUACCGGGAAACCAAAGUCUUUGAGUUCCGGGGGAAGUAUGGUUGCAAAGCUGAAACUUAAAGGAAUUGACGGAAGGGCACCACCAGGAGUGGAGCCUGCGGCUCAAUUUGACUCAACACGGGGAAUCUUACCAGGCCCUGGCACUGGAAGGAUUGACAGAUUGAAAGCUCUUUCUUAAUUCGGUGGGUGGUGGUGCAUGGCCGUUCUUAGUUGGUGGAGUGAUUUGUCUGGUUAAUUCCGAUAACGAACGAGACUCUAGCCUAUUAACUAGUCGGUGGAUAUAAUAAAUCAGAGUUGUACUCUUGUAGUACUUCUCCCAGGUUAAGGACCAUGAAAGUGGGUGAGGCCGGCUGUGAUUGUUCUGACGGUGGAGUUCCUUGGGUCUGUCGCCAGCGGUUCAGGAUUUUAUCGUCCCGGGCCAAAGGUGGCGGCCUGGCUCUAUUGUUCAGUUCAUCUCUUCAGUUGUGUCGAGCUUACAAUUCUCAAUGGUGUCUAAACCGCAGCUUCUUCUUAGAGGGAUAAGCGGCAGCAAAUAAAAUACUAGCCGCACGAGAGAUUGAGCCAUAACAGGUCUGUGAUGCCCUUAGAUGUUCUGGGCCGCACGCGCGCUACAAUGGAGAGUUCAACAAGCUCUUCCUGCUCCGAAAGGAGUGGGUAACCUUAUCAAAGCUGUCCUUAAAGGGGAUUGGGGCUUGCAAAUAUGGCCCAUGAACGAGGAAUUCCCAGUAGGCGCAGUUCACCAGAUUGCACCGAUUUAGUCCCUGCCCUUUGUACACACCGCCCGUCGCUACUACCGAUUGAAUGGUCUAGUGAGGGCAUCGGACUGGCGCUCAAGGAGUGGUCACCUUUACUUUCGUCGUGCCGGAGGUCUCGUGCCGAAGGUCUGGGGUAAUGUGUGCCGCCUCGAGUCGACGGAAAGAUGUCCGAGCUGGGUCAUUUAGAGGAAGUAAAAGUCGUAACAAGGUUUCCGUAGGUGAACCUGC
RNAcentral lists this ribosomal RNA (2070 nucleotides) under Gennadas parvus. RNAcentral's name for it is "SSU rRNA". It matches the Rfam family "Eukaryotic small subunit ribosomal RNA". The record is from RNAcentral. Lineage: Eukaryota; Metazoa; Arthropoda; Malacostraca; Decapoda; Benthesicymidae.